Molecule: small RNA, 84 nt
Filed under: Salmonella enterica subsp. enterica serovar Typhimurium
Lineage: Bacteria; Pseudomonadati; Pseudomonadota; Gammaproteobacteria; Enterobacterales; Enterobacteriaceae
Description: partial RtT sRNA
Rfam family: RtT RNA
About the family: This family represents a bacterial cis-regulatory element known as RtT RNA. The exact function of RtT is unknown although it is thought that it may be involved in changing the cellular response in relation to amino acid starvation.
Source: RNAcentral
AUAUCUCUCUGUACGGGAAGGAUGAGAAGCUUCGACUAAGGUUCGAUUCGAGCGCAGCGAGAACGCGUUGCCGCAGGCAACGAC